RNAcentral lists this ribosomal RNA (254 nucleotides) under uncultured bacterium. RNAcentral's name for it is "partial 16S ribosomal RNA". It matches the Rfam family "Bacterial small subunit ribosomal RNA", at positions 524 to 776 of the family's 1533-position model. The record is from RNAcentral.
UACGUAGGGAGCGAGCGUUGUCCGGAUUCAUUGGGCGUAAAGAGCUCGUAGGCGGCUUGGCAAGUCGGGUGUGAAAACUCCAGGCUCAACCUGGAGACGCCACCCGAUACUGCCAUGGCUAGAGUCCGGUAGGGGACCACGGAAUUCCUGGUGUAGCGGUGAAAUGCGCAGAUAUCAGGAGGAACACCGGUGGCGAAGGCGGGUCUCUGGGCCGAUACUGACACUGAGGAGCGAAAGCGUGGGGAGCGAACAGG